UACAGAGGGGGCAAGCGUUGCUCGGAAUUACUGGGCGUAAAGGGCGCGUAGGCGGAAUGGCAAGUCGGUCGUGAAAUCCUUCGGCUCAACCGAAGAACGUCGAUCGAAACUGCCGUUCUUGAGGAUUGCAGAGGAGACUGGAAUUCCCGGUGUAGCGGUGAAAUGUGUAGAGAUCGGGAGGAACACCGGUGGCGAAGGCGGGUCUCUGGGCAAUUCCUGACGCUGAGGCGCGAAAGCGUGGGGAGCAAACGGG
Molecule: ribosomal RNA, 253 nt
Filed under: uncultured bacterium
Lineage: Bacteria
Description: partial 16S ribosomal RNA
Rfam family: Bacterial small subunit ribosomal RNA
Source: RNAcentral